This is a transfer RNA of Phytophthora infestans T30-4, 70 nucleotides long. It matches the Rfam family "tRNA". From Rfam's summary of the family: Transfer RNA (tRNA) molecules are approximately 80 nucleotides in length. Their secondary structure includes four short double-helical elements and three loops (D, anti-codon, and T loops). The record is from Rfam. Lineage: Eukaryota; Oomycota; Peronosporomycetes; Peronosporales; Peronosporaceae.
GCCCUUUUAGCUCAGUGGUCGAGCGUUGGCUUUGGAAGCCACAGAUCGGUAGUUCAAAUCCACCCGGGCA